AGGGGUGUAGCUCAAUUGGUAGAGUAGCGGUCUCCAAAACCGUUGGUUGGGGGUUCGAGCCCCUCCACCCCUGCCA
This 76-nucleotide transfer RNA is filed under the name Pelotomaculum schinkii. RNAcentral describes it as "tRNA-Trp". It matches the Rfam family "tRNA". From Rfam's summary of the family: Transfer RNA (tRNA) molecules are approximately 80 nucleotides in length. The record is from RNAcentral. RNAcentral also lists the same sequence under 1 other name. Lineage: Bacteria; Bacillati; Bacillota; Clostridia; Eubacteriales; Desulfotomaculaceae.